CCCUAGUAUAUUAUUUUCCUUAAAAAUUAGUAUAAUUAAAAAAAAUUAAAAAUUUUGGUAGCAAAUUAUAAAUUAGAGGAGCUUGUUUAAAUAGAAUUUGCUCUUUAAAUUUUAAUAUUUAAUUUGCUUAUUCAUCUCUGUUAUAAUUACAAAUUAAAUAAAAUUAUUUUAAUAUUUCAGGUCAAGAUGUAGCUUUUAAUAUAAAAAAUUAGCUACAAUUUAAGAUAUAAUAGUUUAUAUUUUGAAAAAUUUAUUCUAAACUGAAUUUAACAGUAAUAUUUUAUUAUCUCUAGAAUGAUUAUAUGGAUCCUUUUAAUUAGUAUA
Molecule: ribosomal RNA, 324 nt
Filed under: Mitobates triangulus
Lineage: Eukaryota; Metazoa; Arthropoda; Arachnida; Opiliones; Gonyleptidae
Description: partial 12S ribosomal RNA
Source: RNAcentral